AGUAUUAGGUAAUCUUGGAACCUAAAAUUUUUGGCGGUCUUUGGGGCUAGUUAGAGGAACCUGCUUUUUAAUGGAUGAUCCUCCGUAGAUUUUAUUUUUCUUUUAAAUACCGCCGUCGAUGACAGGUCAAGGUUUAGCUGAUAGAGGAAGUUGAAGGUGGAUUUAAAUGUUGAUGGAGAGAGUUUGAGCUCUGAAAGAUGU
RNAcentral lists this ribosomal RNA (201 nucleotides) under Charinus sp. 3 GSM-2017. RNAcentral describes it as "partial small subunit ribosomal RNA". Lineage: Eukaryota; Metazoa; Arthropoda; Arachnida; Amblypygi; Charinidae. The record is from RNAcentral.